ACUCAAAUGAAUUGACGGGGGCUCACACAAGCGGUGGAGGAUGUGGUUUAAUUCGAAGCAACGCGAAGAACCUUACCAGGUCUUGACAUACCGGGAUUAAGCAUGUGAAAGCACGCGGAUUGCCCCUCAAAGGUGUAACCGGAACAGGUGCUGCAUGGCUGUCGUCAGCUCGUGCCGUGAGGUGUUAGGUUAAGUCCUUUAACGAGCGAAACCCCUACGUUCAGUUACCAGCGCGUGAUGGCGGGGACUCUGGACGGACUGCCGCGAAAGUAGGAGGAAGGUGGGGACGACGUCAAGUCAUCAUGGCCUUUAUGACCUGGGCUACACACGUCCUACAAUGGGUGGUACAACGGGAAGCAAAACCGCAAGGCGAAGCCAAUCCCUGAAAGCCACCCUCAGUUCAGAUUGUGGGCUGCAAUUCGCCCACAUGAAGCCGGAAUCGCUAGUAAUCGCGGAUCAGCUACGCCGCGGUGAAUAUGUUCCUGAGCCUUGUACACACCGCCCGU
RNAcentral lists this ribosomal RNA (506 nucleotides) under uncultured bacterium. RNAcentral's name for it is "partial 16S ribosomal RNA". It matches the Rfam family "Bacterial small subunit ribosomal RNA", at positions 899 to 1397 of the family's 1533-position model. The record is from RNAcentral.